This 459-nucleotide ribosomal RNA is filed under the name uncultured bacterium. RNAcentral's name for it is "partial 16S ribosomal RNA". It matches the Rfam family "Bacterial small subunit ribosomal RNA", at positions 338 to 795 of the family's 1533-position model. The record is from RNAcentral.
CCUACGGGUGGCAGCAGUGAGGAAUAUUGGUCAAUGGCCGCAAGCCUGAACCAGCCAAGUCGCGUGAGGGAUGACGGUCCUAUGGAUUGUAAACCUCUUUUGUCAGGGAGCAAAGUGCGCCACGUAUGGCGUUUUGCGAGUACCUGAAGAAAAAGCAUCGGCUAACUCCGUGCCAGCAGCCGCGGUAAUACGGAGGAUGCGAGCGUUAUCCGGAUUUAUUGGGUUUAAAGGGUGCGCAGGCGGAAUGUCAAGUCAGCGGUAAAAUUUCGGGGCUCAACCCCGACGUGCCGUUGAAACUGGCGUUCUUGAGUGAGGGAGAAGUAGGCGGAAUGCGUGGUGUAGCGGUGAAAUGCAUAGAUAUCACGCAGAACUCCGAUUGCGAAGGCAGCAUACUGGCGCUCAACUGACGCUGAUGCACGAAAGCGUGGGUAUCGAACAGGAUUAGAUACCCCAGUAGUC